This 1224-nucleotide long non-coding RNA is filed under the name Salmo salar (Atlantic salmon). Its description in RNAcentral is "lncRNA (ENSSSAG00000108290.1)". The record is from RNAcentral. Lineage: Eukaryota; Metazoa; Chordata; Actinopteri; Salmoniformes; Salmonidae.
GCUCUAGUUCACUAUGUAGUGCCCUGGUCCAAAGUAGUGCACUACAUAAGGAAUAGGGCUCUAGUUUGCUGUGUAGGGUCCUGGUUCAAAGUAGUGCACUACAUAAGGAAUAGGGCUCUAGUUCACUAUGUAGUGCCCUGGUCCAAAGUAGUGCACUACAUAAGGAAUAGGGCUCUAGUUCACUAUGUAGUGCCCUGGUCCAAAGUAGUGCACUACAUAAGGAAUAGGGCUCUAGUUUGCUGUGUAGGGUCCUGGUUCAAAGUAGUGCACUACAUAAGGAAUAGGGCUCUAGUUCACUAUGUAUUGCCCUGGUUCAAAGUAGUGCACUACAUAAGGAAUAUGGCUCUAGUUUGCUGUGUAGGGUCCUGGUCCAAAGUAGUGCACUACAUAAGGAAUAGGGCUCUAGUUCACUUUGUAGUGCCCUGGUCCAAAGUAGUGCACUACACAAGGAAUAGGGCUCUAGUUUGCUGUGUAGGGUCCUGGUCCAAAGUAGUGCACUACAUAAGGAAUAGGGCUCUAGUUUGCUGUGUAGGGUCCUGGUCCAAAGUAGUGCACUACAUAAGGAAUAGGGCUCUAGUUCACUAUGUAGUGCCCUGGUCCAAAGUAGUGCACUACAUAAGGAAUAAGGCUCUAGUUCACUAUGUAGGGUCCUGGUCCAAAGUAGUGCACUACAUAAGGAAUAGGGCUCUAGUUCACUUUGUAGUGCCCUGGUCCAAAGUAGUGCACUACAUAAGAAAUAGGGCUCUAGUUCACUAUGUAGUGCCCUGGUCCAAAGUAGUGCACUACAUAAGGAAUAGGACUCUAGUUCACUAUGUAGGGUCCUGGUCCAAAGUAGUGCACUACAUAAGGAAUAGGGCUCUAGUUCGCUGUGUAGGGUCCUGGUCCAAUGUAGUGCACUACAUAAGGAAUAGGGCUCUAGUUCACUUUGUAGUGCCCUGGUCCAAUGUAGUGCACUACAUAAGGAAUAGGGCUCUAGUUCACUAUGUAGGGUCCUGGUCCAAAGUAGUGCACUACAUAAGGAAUAGGGCACUAGUUCACUAUGUAGGGUUGAUAGGCAACCGAUGGACUCCAGUUCCCUGGUUACAAGCACUACAGGUAGGGAAUAUGGUGCCCACACUUUGGGAAGCAGGCAGUACAUCUGUAGUGAGUCCAACCCAGUCACAACAGAGAACACAGUCAAAACACAUAACAACAUUAAAACAGGGUCGGCCUGAAUUCCAACUG